UGGACGGUAUGGGGACCGUCCAGCAUCGUCCUCCAUCCGUCGCCGUUCACCUCUCCAUUCCUGGCCCUCCGUCGCCGUUCCUUCCGCGUCGCCAACGUCGGGGUAAGGACGUUUGAGACGCUCACAAAAGGACAAAAAGGUUAGGGUUUCACCAAUCUCCGGUAUGUGUUUCAUCACCGGUCGUGUUCAGUCCCUAUCAUCAUCACCUUCUGUAGCUCAAUCGGAACUCUCAUCUACACCUCCGUGCCCUACUUCCGUUUCCGAUCAACUACCGAUCUCCGGGUUUCGACGCACGGCGACGUCAGCGCCAGUUUGUUUCAACAAUCAGAGGCGAAGGAGAUUUUUAGGUUUGCUUUGUUCCCUGUUGCGACGCAGGAGACCGGCCGUGAAUAAACGAGCCGUCGCCGCCUCCCGCCUCUUUCGUGAACCAACCACCAUUCGGAGCCGCUGCUAGCUUCACUCGCCUGAGCCGAGGAGCUACGCCACCGGCGCUACCAUCUGUUAGUGUAAAUCGAUUCCAUCAUGGCUAACUUUUUAACUCAAUUAAAAAACGUUGAACACCUCAUCAAAAUCUGGUCUUGAUUAUUGCCUCUAAGUUUAUUGAAUCAAAUUUCGAAUAUGUUGAAUGGGUUAAAGAAUCUGUAGAUUGACUCAUUUCCAAUGUCAAAUGCUGCAGUUCCAAGAAGCAUUAAGGAUCAUGAGGGUUGAUGUUGGGCACCAGUUCUUUUCACCAUGUGAGAUGGUUACUGUAGGUUUUCAUAACCACUGGCUCAGUGGAAUUGAUUACAUUC
This is a long non-coding RNA of Helianthus annuus (common sunflower), 791 nucleotides long. RefSeq lists it as uncharacterized. NCBI's taxonomy places the organism in Eukaryota, Viridiplantae, Streptophyta, Magnoliopsida, Asterales, Asteraceae. The transcript is spliced from 3 exons. The record is from RefSeq and is a predicted model, not a curated record.